UCAUCGGGUUUGUCUCAUUGA
This 21-nucleotide non-coding RNA is filed under the name Caenorhabditis elegans. Lineage: Eukaryota; Metazoa; Nematoda; Chromadorea; Rhabditida; Rhabditidae. The record is from RNAcentral.